CCUACGGGAGGCAGCAGUGGGGAAUAUUGGGCAAUGGGCGCAAGCCUGACCCAGCAACGCCGCGUGAAGGAAGAAGGCUUUCGGGUUGUAAACUUCUUUUCUCAGGGACGAAGCAAGUGACGGUCCCUGUGUAUUAAGCCACGGCUAAAUACGUGCCAGCAGCCGCGGUAAUACGUAGGUGGCAAGCGUUAUCCGGAUUUACUGGGUGUAAAGGGCGUGUAGGCGGGAAUACAAGUCAGAUGUGAAACCCACGGGCUCAACCUGUGGCCUGCAUUUGAAACUGUAGGUCUUGAGUACUGGAGAGGCAGACGGAAUUCCUAGUGUAGCGGUGAAAUGCGUAGAUAUUAGGAAGAACACCAGUGGCGAAGGCGGACUACUGGACAGCAACUGACGGUGAGGCGCGAAAGCGUGGGGAGCAAACAGGAUUAGAUACCCCGGUAGUC
This 443-nucleotide ribosomal RNA is filed under the name uncultured bacterium. RNAcentral's name for it is "partial 16S ribosomal RNA". It matches the Rfam family "Bacterial small subunit ribosomal RNA", at positions 338 to 795 of the family's 1533-position model. The record is from RNAcentral.